This 29-nucleotide non-coding RNA is filed under the name Homo sapiens (human). The record is from RNAcentral. Lineage: Eukaryota; Metazoa; Chordata; Mammalia; Primates; Hominidae.
UCACUAUCCUAAAACAUGGCACACUCUGC